CCUUUUUUAUAACCGGCAUUACACGCCUCUUAAGAUGUUUUGAACAUGUUUAAAAAUAGAAAAAAUAAUAUUUAAUAAACAACUAAUUGAAUCACAUUAUUACUAGCCUAUUAUGAGGCUAAGCCCACCCCUCCCGCUUAGUGUAGAUAAUAUCAUUUGUUUAAAAAAACAAUCAUUUGACGACUAAUUUAAUGUAAUUUAAUCACAUUAUUAUCUGCGUUCAAAAGACCUUUUAACAACCGGCAUUAUACCCCUCUUAAGAUGUUUUGAACGUGUUUAAAAAUAGAGAAAAUAAUAUUUAAUAAACAA
Molecule: long non-coding RNA, 309 nt
Filed under: Malus domestica (apple)
Lineage: Eukaryota; Viridiplantae; Streptophyta; Magnoliopsida; Rosales; Rosaceae
Description: long non-coding RNA (MDOM_LNC012319)
Source: RNAcentral